Molecule: long non-coding RNA, 601 nt
Organism: Hemicordylus capensis (graceful crag lizard)
Lineage: Eukaryota; Metazoa; Chordata; Lepidosauria; Squamata; Cordylidae
Exons: 5
Source: RefSeq, a predicted model, not a curated record
GGCUUGCUGCGUGAAAGCAGCUCUUCACUCGAAGGCUUACCUGUUACUAAUCCCAUAAAAGGCAGUUCUUGUGAGAGUUUGGGAUAGCGAUGGGACGGCUGGGAGAGGGAAAAUGGUGGCAGCUGGCCGGUAGGGAAACAGAAUGCUGGAAUAAUUAGAAAGCUCUUCCCUGAACAAGAGCAAAUGCACCAACUUGGAUAGGUCUGCUGAGCCCCCAACCUUCUAUGUGGAAAAAGUAAAUAGAAGAGAGAGACUACUCUAAAUUUAAGAUGAUCAUCUUGCGAAAUAGAGGCUAAAUACAGAUCAUACCUACAUUUACCCAAAAGAAAGAUGACUCUGAAUUUAAGAUUAUUUCUAAUAUCAAAGAACUUGGGAAGAAACCUAGACUUCGAUUCAGACAUAAUCUUCUUGCUGAAGAAUUAUGGGAAACCUGCACCCCUGGUCAAGUCAUUAUGUUAACACCAAGUCAGCAAUGUUCGCUAUACCAGUGCUUCUCGACUUCUUACAGAACUGAGCUGGACAUCAAGUUGCUCUGCUGUAAUCUAGCAAAGUGAACUUCAAAUGACCAUUAACCUGGACAAAGUGACUAGAGAAAGCUUCU